UGGAAACAGAUAAACAGAUGUUGGUCGACGCCCAUCUGAGGCUGAUGUGAAUGUCACCUCUGCAGGUAUUUAAUCAUAAACUAAAGUAGAAUUCCCACAUCUCAGCGGUUUGCCUCCACACACCUGUCAGGUUGAUGUUCCUGAGCUGUGGUGCUAUGAUGACACAGUGGAGCUGACCUUUGACCUUUAGAUAUAAAAUGUCUUCAGCUCAUCCUGUUUGACAAAUAUGUGAUUUUUUUUUUUGUCAUACUUAUUAUAUGAAUAGUUAGGUUAUGGCCAAAAAUGUGUUUUGUGAGGUCACAGGGACCUGAGCUUUGACUUCUAAUCAGUUUUAGUGGAAUUGUGCCAAAUUUGAAGAAAUUCUUGAGAUAUUGGGACAGGCAGGCAACCUGGAAACAUAAUGCCUCCGGAUGGAAUCAAAAGUCAGAGGAUCACCAAAGUUUUCACAGUUCGUCCUGAUGGGAACAUUUCAGGAUAAUCAUUUCAAUAGUCAGUGAGACAAUCCACUCAAAACCACAAACUGAACCUCAUGGUGGCGCUGGAGUUCAAGUGAAGAGGACCACCAAAGUCAGCAGGAUUCAUCCUCUGGGGAACAUGAAUGUCUCCGCCUAAUUUAACGACGAUCCAUCCAUUAGCAGUUGAGUUAUUUUAGCCUGGACCAAAGUGAUAGAUCAGCCUCACACUUGACAUUGCCAUACAUCGUGCUGGAGCUAUUUAUUGACGAAGUGACUCUAAGCAGCAUCUUCAGUCCUGAGCUCAUGGUGGAGGGGGUUCAGGUUUCAGCUCCAAACGCUACAGUCAACUAAACUCAGCUGAGUCCUGAGUCGAGUGGUGAUUAAGCCAAAACUGUAAAUAUCCCACAUGUUUGAUUAACACUUCCACUAUCAUUUUAAAAGUGUUAAUCUCACUCAGUGUUACUGUGGUUGACGUUUAUUAGCUGCCUUCAACUCAUAAAAAAAUAUCUGAAAGCACGAAUGACUAAAAUAGCACCAUAAAGCUGACUGUUGGACUGAUUUAGAUAAAGGCAUGCCAAUAACAUGCCGGCCAAUGAGCACGGCUUACUGCGGCACGCCAGCGAUUCAGAAAAUACACCGCACCGCCUGAGGAAUGUGAGACUGAGAGCUGGAACAAAUGUCCUUCAUGGAGCCACGAGACGAGGAUAAAUCCCAUCUACAGUCCUGGUUUAUAAAACACAGAGGACAUCACACUUCAUCUCCGAGAACUUUACUGCCUGAAGGGAGGAGGUCAGAGGUCACCGCCGUCUGACCAGAGAUGAACACGCAGAGUGAGGGUCAGAUUACAGGGAGCUGUGGUCCCAAUGUGAACAGUCUCAGGGUCUAACAACAGAAGCAUAUUUGUGAGGUCACACACUGAUGUUGGACGGGAAGGCCUGGCUCUUCAUCCCAAAGGUGUUCUAUGCAGAACCAAACCCCGACUCGUCCAUCACUGCAUCCAACACUUUGCAUUGCACUUGCAGAUGUCUGGCUAUGUUGGAUGCAGCUGCUCGGCCAUGGAAACACAUUCCAUGAAGCUCUCUACACUCUGAGCUAAUCUGAAGGCCACAUGAAGUUCGGAGGUCUGAAGUGAUUGAUUCUACAGAAAGUUGGUGACAUCUGAGCACUUUGUGUCUCAGCAUCUGCUGACCCGCUCCGUCAUUUUACGCCACUUCAUGGCUGAGUCGCUGUCGUUCCCAGUCGCUUCCACUUUGUUAUAAUAUCACUGACAGCUGACUGCAGAAUAUUUGGGAGUGAGGAAACUUUUCACCUGGACUUGUUACACAGUGUUCGGCAGUAAAAGUCUGAAGCCAGCGUCAGGACUUCCUGUCGUCUCUCCAGCAGGCGGAGGAGCAACAACCAUCCCUCGUUCAGAGAUGCCCCCAUGGCCUUGUACACUCCCUCCUCCUCCUGUUUCUUGCU
Molecule: long non-coding RNA, 1916 nt
Organism: Acanthopagrus latus (yellowfin seabream)
Lineage: Eukaryota; Metazoa; Chordata; Actinopteri; Spariformes; Sparidae
Exons: 3
Source: RefSeq, a predicted model, not a curated record